RNAcentral lists this ribosomal RNA (248 nucleotides) under uncultured bacterium. Its description in RNAcentral is "partial 16S ribosomal RNA". It matches the Rfam family "Bacterial small subunit ribosomal RNA", at positions 524 to 772 of the family's 1533-position model. The record is from RNAcentral.
UACGUAGGGGGCAAGCGUUAUCCGGAAUUAUUGGGCGUAAAGCGUACGUAGGUGGUUACCUAAGCACAGGGUUUAAGGCUAUGGCUUAACUAUAGUUCGCCUUGUGAACUGGGCUACUUGAGUGCAGGAGAGGAAAGCGGAAUUCCUAGUGUAGCGGUGAAAUGCGUAGAUAUUAGGAGGAACACCAGUGGCGAAGGCGGCUUUCUGGACUGAAACUGACACUGAGGCACGAAAGCGUGGGGAGCAAA